GCAACGAGCGCAACCCUUGUCUUUAGUUACCAUCAUUAAGUUGGGGACUCUAGAGAGACUGCCGGUGAUAAACCGGAGGAAGUGGGGAUGACGUCAAAUCAUCAUGCCCCUUAUGGCCUGGGCUACACACGUACUACAAUGGCGCAUACAACGAGCUGCAAGAUGGUGACAUCAAGCGAAUCUCUUAAAAUGCGUCUCAGUUCGGAUUGGAGUCUGCAACUCGACUCCAUGAAGUCGGAAUCGCUAGUAAUCGCGGAUCAGCAUGCCGCGGUGAAUACGUUCUCGGGGUUU
Molecule: ribosomal RNA, 291 nt
Filed under: uncultured Erysipelothrix sp.
Lineage: Bacteria; Bacillati; Bacillota; Erysipelotrichia; Erysipelotrichales; Erysipelotrichaceae
Description: partial 16S ribosomal RNA
Rfam family: Bacterial small subunit ribosomal RNA
Source: RNAcentral